AUUCCAUUCUGGAGCAUUUCCCUUAUUUUAAUUUGAAGCCAUUCCCUCUUAUGGAAAGACAGACAAUAAUUGUUUGUGCUUAAUGGCAUUGGUUUGACGAAUACAAAGUCCACAGUUAUUAUAGUGUCAUGAUUGUAUUUUGGCUUAUCGAUGCCAGGAAAUGAACUUAAUGCAUCCUUCUUAUUAAAUACUAUUUUAUCAUUGUCAGUCACAAAAACUUCAUUUGUAACAAAACUCCAUUUUAUAUUUAGUUGUUCAAGGGCCUCAAUCCUCAAAAGAACAUUGUAUUCUACCUCUUUAAUCAGUAUGGCAUUAACCAAUACUUCUCUGUCCUCAACUUUAAUGUGUAAUCUGAUAUAAUUAUGAUAAGCAUUAGUUUUCCCAUUGAAUGCUUUGAGCACAGUAUGUCCCUCAUGAAUCUUAGCUCCUAGGAAAUAGUUAAAAUGAUUACAGCGAGACUUGCAGUACGGGAUUCACAUUUAGAAUUUUUAUUCUAAUCGAACAGGUGUUUCGGCUCAUCGC
This 522-nucleotide long non-coding RNA is filed under the name Androctonus crassicauda. Lineage: Eukaryota; Metazoa; Arthropoda; Arachnida; Scorpiones; Buthidae. The record is from RNAcentral.